CAGCCGCCGCGGGAAUACGUAGGGUGCGAGCGUUAAUCGGAAUUACUGGGCGUAAAGCGUGCGCAGGCGGUUCGGAAAGAGAGAUGUGAAAUCCCCGGGCUCAACCUGGGAAUGGCAGUGGAUACUGGCAAGCUAGAGUGUGUCAGAGGAUGGUGGAAUUCCCGGUGUAGCGGUGAAAUGCGUAGAGAUCGGGAGGAACAUCAGUGGCGAAGGCGGCCAUCUGGGACAACACUGACGCUGAGGCACGAAAGCGUGGGGAGCAAACAGGAUUAGAUACCCCGGUAGUCCCUGUCUCUUAUAC
Molecule: ribosomal RNA, 301 nt
Filed under: uncultured bacterium
Lineage: Bacteria
Description: partial 16S ribosomal RNA
Rfam family: Bacterial small subunit ribosomal RNA
Source: RNAcentral